CCUACGGGAGGCAGCAGUGGGGAAUAUUGGGCAAUGGACGCAAGUCUGACCCAGCAACGCCGCGUGAAGGAAGAAGGCUUUCGGGUUGUAAACUUCUUUUAAGGGGGAAGAGCAGAAGACGGUACCCCUUGAAUAAGCCACGGCUAACUACGUGCCAGCAGCCGCGGUAAUACGUAGGGGGCAAGCGUUAUCCGGAUUUACUGGGUGUAAAGGGAGCGUAGACGGCUUGGCAAGCCAGAUGUGAAAGGCUGGGGCUCAACCCCAGGACUGCAUUUGGAACUGUCAUGCUAGAGUGUCGGAGAGGCAGGCGGAAUUCCUAGUGUAGCGGUGAAAUGCGUAGAUAUUAGGAGGAACACCAGUGGCGAAGGCGGCCUGCUGGACGAUGACUGACGUUGAGGCUCGAAAGCGUGGGGAGCAAACAGGAUUAGAUACCCUUGUAGUC
Molecule: ribosomal RNA, 442 nt
Filed under: uncultured bacterium
Lineage: Bacteria
Description: partial 16S ribosomal RNA
Rfam family: Bacterial small subunit ribosomal RNA
Source: RNAcentral